Molecule: non-coding RNA, 629 nt
Organism: Parasteatoda tepidariorum (common house spider)
Lineage: Eukaryota; Metazoa; Arthropoda; Arachnida; Araneae; Theridiidae
Source: RefSeq, a predicted model, not a curated record
UUCCAAAAAUGGUUUGGAUACCAUGGUACCUUUACAAGAAGGGGUAAUUCUUGUUAAAGCCAAAUAUAAAACGAAUCUGACGCAAUCUGAUCUAAUAAGAGUCAACAGAAUGUAGAAGAAAAAGAAUCUACCGAAAAAGCAAAUGAAGUGAAAGGAAUUGAUUUAUUCUUGGUAGGCUGAGGGUCUGGGGACGGACCUAACAUUGAUUAAUCAAAGAGAAAAAAAGAGACGUUUACCAUUCCCUUUCACGAAUGUCCGUCAGUUUGAGAGCUACAUCACCCGCACCUGGAAUCCUCAGAAUAGCCUCCAGACUUUAGUGGCACCUAAAGUGAUCACCAAAAGGGGAAAAAAUUGAACCUAUUGACUGUGACGAUAUUGUUUUGAAGAAAAAAAAAGCAGUUAUACACAACACAAAGAAAGAGAAGAAGGCCGGCAACGAUGCUGUAAAGGCCUUCUGAUAAAUACUAUAUAUUUUAUUUAUUUUUGUAAGCAAUAAAUGCUAAUUUUAUUUGGAUUUUUAUUUAUUGAAAAAGAGCGACAUUGAUUGGUGAUUACAAGUUUGAAACAGUUAUAAUUUCGAUAACGUUAGAUUUGCAAUACUGCCAACUCUACUGGAUUUUGCAAGUUUU